GCUGGCGGCAGGCCUAACACAUGCAAGUCGAGCGGUAGAGAGAAGCUUGCUUCUCUUGAGAGCGGCGGACGGGUGAGUAAUGCCUAGGAAUCUGCCUGGUAGUGGGGGAUAACGUUCGGAAACGGACGCUAAUACCGCAUACGUCCUACGGGAGAAAGCAGGGGACCUUCGGGCCUUGCGCUAUCAGAUGAGCCUAGGUCGGAUUAGCUAGUUGGUGAGGUAAUGGCUCACCAAGGCGACGAUCCGUAACUGGUCUGAGAGGAUGAUCAGUCACACUGGAACUGAGACACGGUCCAGACUCCUACGGGAGGCAGCAGUGGGGAAUAUUGGACAAUGGGCGAAAGCCUGAUCCAGCCAUGCCGCGUGUGUGAAGAAGGUCUUCGGAUUGUAAAGCACUUUAAGUUGGGAGGAAGGGUUGUAGAUUAAUACUCUGCAAUUUUGACGUUACCGACAGAAUAAGCACCGGCUAACUCUGUGCCAACAGCCGCGGUAAUACAGAGGGUGCAAGCGUUAAUCGGAAUUACUGGGCGUAAAGCGCGCGUAGGUGGUUUGUUAAGUUGGAUGUGAAAUCCCCGGGCUCAACCUGGGAACUGCAUUCAAAACUGACUGACUAGAGUAUGGUAGAGGGUGGUGGAAUUUCCUGUGUAGCGGUGAAAUGCGUAGAUAUAGGAAGGAACACCAGUGGCGAAGGCGACCACCUGGACUAAUACUGACACUGAGGUGCGAAAGCGUGGGGAGCAAACAGGAUUAGAUACCCUGGUAGUCC
RNAcentral lists this ribosomal RNA (766 nucleotides) under uncultured bacterium. RNAcentral's name for it is "bacterial SSU rRNA". It matches the Rfam family "Bacterial small subunit ribosomal RNA", at positions 35 to 796 of the family's 1533-position model. The record is from RNAcentral.